CUUGGAUAAGGAUUUCCUCAUGCCAAUUGAGGAUGUUUUCUCUAUAUCUGGGCGUGGUACUGUUGUCACUGGACGUAU
Molecule: transfer RNA, 78 nt
Filed under: Chaetoceros neogracilis
Lineage: Eukaryota; Bacillariophyta; Thalassiosirophyceae; Chaetocerotales; Chaetocerotaceae
Description: Selenocysteine transfer RNA
Source: RNAcentral